RNAcentral lists this unclassified non-coding RNA (240 nucleotides) under fungal sp. RNAcentral's name for it is "partial internal transcribed spacer region". The stretch from base 1 to 46 matches the Rfam family "Eukaryotic small subunit ribosomal RNA", at positions 1786 to 1831 of the family's 1831-position model. Lineage: Eukaryota; Fungi. The record is from RNAcentral.
AAGUCGUAACAAGGUUUCCGUAGGUGAACCUGCGGAAGGAUCAUUAACAAAUCAAACAACAUUUACUUGUUGAAACGUCAUGUCCGUUUGCUACCGUUAGGAUACCAAGUAAGAGAUAUCUCUGAACAGUAGAGGUAGCAGCGGCUAUAACAAUUAUGUCACUCUAUUGGUUUUACUUCAUUGGUGAUAACUAAAAUUACAAAUAUAUACAACUUUUAACAAUGGAUCUCUUGGCUCCUA